GACGAGGGCGCGAGCGUGUCCGGAUUUAUUGGGCGUAAAGAGCUCGUAGGCGGCUUGUCGCGUCGAAUGUGAAAUCUCAGGGCUCAACUCUGACAUUGCAUUCGAUACGGGCAGGCUCGAGUUCGGUAGGGGAGACUGGAAUUCCUGGUGUAGCGGUGAAAUGCGCAGAUAUCAGGAGGAACACCGGUGGCGAAGGCGGGUCUCUGGGCCGAUACUGACGCUGAGGAGCGAAAGCGUGGGGAGCGAACAGG
RNAcentral lists this ribosomal RNA (251 nucleotides) under uncultured bacterium. RNAcentral describes it as "partial 16S ribosomal RNA". It matches the Rfam family "Bacterial small subunit ribosomal RNA", at positions 524 to 776 of the family's 1533-position model. The record is from RNAcentral.